Long non-coding RNA from Onychostoma macrolepis, 1361 nucleotides. RefSeq lists it as uncharacterized. The record is from RefSeq and is a predicted model, not a curated record. Lineage: Eukaryota; Metazoa; Chordata; Actinopteri; Cypriniformes; Cyprinidae. The transcript has 2 exons.
GGCGCGCUUGGAAUAAACUGAAGGAUUUUUAACUUGUAUGCAUUAAGAUAAAGUAACGAGAGGAGCGUCGCCCACAGUAACGAAGUAAAAGUACCGUUUUUUCACUAAAAAUGUACUUGAGUAAGAGUAAAAGUACCCAUUUUUAAAUAUACUCUAAAAGUAUUAGUUACCCAAAAAAUGUACUCAAGUAAAUGUAACGAAGUAAAUGUAACUCGUUACUACCCACCUCUGGUUGUAGUGUAUAACACGAUUGAUAUUUGCUGGCUUUGGCUAGCCUCCAAGCUAACGCAUACGUGCCUGUAUUGAAUAUGAUUACGCAUCGCUCCAGUAGAGUUAUUGUAAGCCAAUUUGACAUUACACAGUUUACACAAAACUUUUCCGUUUCCUUCUAAUUCAAAAUAAUCCCACACCUUGCUGGUCUUUCACGUGGUCAUUUCGAGCUCGCCGCAACUGACAAGAAAACACAUGCAAGGUCUGAGGUAAAAAUGUAGUUUCCGCCCAGAUACGCUUUUAAAAAUAUUUAAAUAUUUUGAUAUUUAUUCUUUUUCAAAAGUUUUAUUUUAGCUUGUUGUUAAAAUGUUUUAAAUGUAACGUUAACAUUAUGGUAAUUUUUUCUCUCUCUCGUGUAAUCGACUAUUGUUUUCAGUGUCGACUAGUAGGAGCUGAACCGUUUAGUCGACUAGACCCGCACCAGAGCCAUAGAGAGAGAGAGUUGCGACAACUCCGUUGACUCCAAUGGACCGUUUUUUUUACAGCAAUGGCGGAUCAUGGAGCCGCUCAAUAGUUCCCGGAAGUUAGCUCUCAUACUAUCAGCGCCAUAGAGAUGCAGCAGAAGAGACCGCUGUGAUGAACGUUUAAAAGAACAAGAACCACCUGAAGACUCCCUGUAAUGAUGAGAUAUCACCCUCACAAUGAGUUAUGAUUACAUCACAUUUUGUUGGUGUAAUCUAUAGAUUGCUCCUGCUGACUAUCUCCAGGCUCUCAUGAAGACUUCAGUUGACCAGCACCUGUGAAGAGAUGACGCCAGCCCUUGAGAGGACUUCAGAUGAACCUGACUCUGACUCUGAAUAAACAUGCAAAACUGCUACAUUUUCCUCGCAUUGUAAUGAUCACAUCAUGUUACCAUUGCUUUAAUUUGUUCAUUGUUUCUGUAUACAUGUUUCAUUGUUUCUGAAUAGCCUACAUGACAUUACUUAACUGCAUGAUUUGUAAAGCCUAAUUUUAGAACAUUUCUGCCAUAUGAACAUUACUUUGACACAGUUACACCUGUUAACAGAACUCUUAUUUGUAAUGUAGAAACAUUCAUUUCUGUAAAGCUGCUUUGAAACUAUGUGUAUAAUAAAAAGUGCUAUACAAAUAAA